RNAcentral lists this ribosomal RNA (427 nucleotides) under uncultured bacterium. Its description in RNAcentral is "bacterial SSU rRNA". It matches the Rfam family "Bacterial small subunit ribosomal RNA", at positions 34 to 507 of the family's 1533-position model. The record is from RNAcentral.
CGCUGGCGGCAUGCCUAACACAUGCAAGUCGAACGAGACCUUCGGGUCUAGUGGCGCACGGGUGCGUAACGCGUGGGAAUCUGCCCUUGGGUUCGGAAUAACUUCGGGAAACUGAAGCUAAUACCGGAUGAUGACGUAAGUCCAAAGAUUUAUCGCCCAAGGAUGAGCCCGCGUAGGAUUAGCUAGUUGGUGAGGUAAAGGCUCACCAAGGCGACGAUCCUUAGCUGGUCUGAGAGGAUGAUCAGCCACACUGGGACUGAGACACGGCCCAGACUCCUACGGGAGGCAGCAGUGGGGAAUAUUGGACAAUGGGCGAAAGCCUGAUCCAGCAAUGCCGCGUGAGUGAUGAAGGCCUUAGGGUUGUAAAGCUCUUUUACCCGGGAUGAUAAUGACAGUACCGGGAGAAUAAGCUCCGGCUAACUCCGUG